Molecule: ribosomal RNA, 253 nt
Filed under: Faecalibacterium prausnitzii
Lineage: Bacteria; Bacillati; Bacillota; Clostridia; Eubacteriales; Oscillospiraceae
Description: partial 16S ribosomal RNA
Rfam family: Bacterial small subunit ribosomal RNA
Source: RNAcentral
AACGUAGGUCACAAGCGUUGUCCGGAAUUACUGGGUGUAAAGGGAGCGCAGGCGGGAAGACAAGUUGGAAGUGAAAUUCAUGGGCUCAACCCAUGAACUGCUUUCAAAACUGUUUUUCUUGAGUAGUGCAGAGGUAGGCGGAAUUCCCGGUGUAGCGGUGGAAUGCGUAGAUAUCGGGAGGAACACCAGUGGCGAAGGCGGCCUACUGGGCACCAACUGACGCUGAGGCUCGAAAGUAUGGGUAGCAAACAGG